This 253-nucleotide ribosomal RNA is filed under the name uncultured bacterium. Its description in RNAcentral is "partial 16S ribosomal RNA". It matches the Rfam family "Bacterial small subunit ribosomal RNA", at positions 524 to 776 of the family's 1533-position model. The record is from RNAcentral.
UACGUAGGGUGCAAGCGUUAAUCGGAAUUACUGGGCGUAAAGCGUGCGCAGGCGGUUGUGCAAGACCGAUGUGAAAUCCCCGGGCUUAACCUGGGAAUGGCAUUGGUGACUGCAUGGCUAGAGUGUGUCAGAGGGGGGUAGAAUUCCACGUGUAGCAGUGAAAUGCGUAGAGAUGUGGAGGAAUACCGAUGGCGAAGGCAGCCCCCUGGGAUAACACUGACGCUCAUGCACGAAAGCGUGGGGAGCAAACAGG